Molecule: ribosomal RNA, 1346 nt
Filed under: uncultured bacterium
Lineage: Bacteria
Description: bacterial SSU rRNA
Rfam family: Bacterial small subunit ribosomal RNA
Source: RNAcentral
GACGAACGCUGGCGGCGUGCUUAACACAUGCAAGUCGAACGGAAAGGCCCUGCUUUUGUGGGGUGCUCGAGUGGCGAACGGGUGAGUAACACGUGAGUAACCUGCCCUUGACUUUGGGAUAACUUCAGGAAACUGGGGCUAAUACCGGAUAGGAGCUCCUGCUGCAUGGUGGGGGUUGGAAAGUUUCGGCGGUUGGGGAUGGACUCGCGGCUUAUCAGCUUGUUGGUGGGGUAGUGGCUUACCAAGGCUUUGACGGGUAGCCGGCCUGAGAGGGUGACCGGCCACAUUGGGACUGAGAUACGGCCCAGACUCCUACGGGAGGCAGCAGUGGGGAAUAUUGCACAAUGGGCGGAAGCCUGAUGCAGCAACGCCGCGUGCGGGAUGACGGCCUUCGGGUUGUAAACCGCUUUCGCCUGUGACGAAGCGUGAGUGACGGUAAUGGGUAAAGAAGCACCGGCUAACUACGUGCCAGCAGCCGCGGUGAUACGUAGGGUGCGAGCGUUGUCCGGAUUUAUUGGGCGUAAAGGGCUCGUAGGUGGUUGAUCGCGUCGGAAGUGUAAUCUUGGGGCUUAACCCUGAGCGUGCUUUCGAUACGGGUUGACUUGAGGAAGGUAGGGGAGAAUGGAAUUCGUGGUGGAGCGGUGGAAUGCGCAGAUAUCAGGAGGAACACCAGUGGCGAAGGCGGUUCUCUGGGCCUUUCCUGACGCUGAGGAGCGAAAGCGUGGGGAGCGAACAGGCUUAGAUACCCUGGUAGUCCACGCUGUAAACGGUGGGUACUAGGUGUGGGGUCCAUUCCACGGGUUCCGUGCCGUAGCUAACGCUUUAAGUACCCCGCCUGGGGAGUACGGCCGCAAGGCUAAAACUCAAAGGAAUUGACGGGGCCCCGCACAAGCGGCGGAGCAUGCGGAUUAAUUCGAUGCAACGCGUAGAACCUUACCUGGGUUUGACAUGAAUCGGGAGCGCUCAGAGAUGGGUGUGCCUCUUUUGGGGUCGGUUCACAGGUGGUGCAUGGCUGUCGUCAGCUCGUGCCGUGAGAUGUUGGGUUAAGUCCCGCAACGAGCGCAACCCUUGUUCACUGUUGCCAGCACGUUAUGGUGGGGACUCAGUGGAGACCGCCGGGGUCAACUCGGAGGAAGGUGGGGAUGACGUCAAGUCAUCAUGCCCCUUAUGUCCAGGGCUUCACGCAUGCUACAAUGGCUGGUACAGAGAGUGGCGAGCCUGUGAGGGUGAGCGAAUCUCGGAAAGCCGGUCUCAGUUCGGAUUGGGGUCUGCAACUCGACCUCAUGAAGUCGGAGUCGCUAGUAAUCGCAGAUCAGCAACGCUGCGGUGAAUACGUUCCCGGGGCU